RNAcentral lists this ribosomal RNA (449 nucleotides) under uncultured bacterium. RNAcentral's name for it is "partial 16S ribosomal RNA". It matches the Rfam family "Bacterial small subunit ribosomal RNA", at positions 29 to 523 of the family's 1533-position model. The record is from RNAcentral.
AACGAACGCUGGCGGCAUGCCUAAUACAUGCAAGUCGAACGAGAUCUUCGGAUCUAGUGGCGCACGGGUGCGUAACGCGUGGGAAUCUGCCCUUGGGUUCGGAAUAACAGCGGGAAACUGCUGCUAAUACCGGAUGAUGACGUAAGUCCAAAGAUUUAUCGCCCAGGGAUGAGCCCGCGUAGGAUUAGGUAGUUGGUGGGGUAAAGGCCUACCAAGCCUACGAUCCUUAGCUGGUCUGAGAGGAUGAUCAGCCACACUGGGACUGAGACACGGCCCAGACUCCUACGGGAGGCAGCAUUAGGGAAUAUUGGACAAUGGGGGCAACCCUGAUCCAGCAAUGCCGCGUGAGUGAUGAAGGCCUUAGGGUUGUAAAGCUCUUUUACCCGGGAUGAUAAUGACAGUACCGGGAGAAUAAGCCCCGGCUAACUCCGUGCCAGCAGCCGCAGUAA